GAUGAACGCUGGCGGCGUGCCUAAUACAUGCAAGUCGAGCGAACAGACGAUGAGCUUGCUCCUCUGACGUUAGCGGCGGACGGGUGAGUAACACGUGGAUAACCUACCUAUAAGACUGGGAUAACUUUGGGAAACCGGAUCUAAUACCGCAUAAUAUAUUCAACCGCAUGGAUCAAUAGUUAAAGACGGUUUUGCUGUCACUUAUAGCUGGAUCCGCGCCGCAUUAGCUAGUUGGUAAGGUAACGGCUUACCAAGGCGACGAUGCGUAGCCGACCUGAGAGGGUGAUCAGCCACACUGGAACUGAGACACGGUCCAGACUCCUACGGGAGGCAGCAGUAGGGAAUCUUCCGCAAAGGGCGAAAGCCUGACCCAGCAACACCGCGUGAGUGAUGAAGGUCUUCGGAUCGUAAAACUCUGUUAUUAGGGAAGAAAAAAUGUGUAAGUAACUAUGCACGUCUUGACGGUACCUAAACAGAAAGCAACGGCUAACUACGUG
This 497-nucleotide ribosomal RNA is filed under the name uncultured bacterium. RNAcentral's name for it is "partial 16S ribosomal RNA". It matches the Rfam family "Bacterial small subunit ribosomal RNA", at positions 28 to 507 of the family's 1533-position model. The record is from RNAcentral.